AUACGAAGGGUGCAAGCGUUACUCGGAAUCACUGGGCGUAAAGCGCGCGCAGGCGGUCUUUUAAGUUGGAUGUGAAAGCCUACGGCUCAACCGUAGAACUGCAUCCAAAACUAUUAGACUAGAGUGUGAGAGAGGAAGAUGGAAUUAGUUGUGUAGGGGUAAAAUCCGUAGAGAUAACUAGGAAUACCAAAAGCGAAGGCAAUCUUCUGGAACACUACUGACGCUGAGGCGCGAAAGCGUGGGGAGCAAACAGAAUUAGAAACCCUAGUAGUCC
Molecule: ribosomal RNA, 274 nt
Filed under: uncultured bacterium
Lineage: Bacteria
Description: partial 16S ribosomal RNA
Rfam family: Bacterial small subunit ribosomal RNA
Source: RNAcentral